RNAcentral lists this ribosomal RNA (505 nucleotides) under Pontibaca methylaminivorans. RNAcentral describes it as "bacterial SSU rRNA". It matches the Rfam family "Bacterial small subunit ribosomal RNA", at positions 381 to 904 of the family's 1533-position model. Lineage: Bacteria; Pseudomonadati; Pseudomonadota; Alphaproteobacteria; Rhodobacterales; Roseobacteraceae. The record is from RNAcentral.
CCCUGAUCCAGCCAUGCCGCGUGAGUGACGAAGGUCUUAGGAUCGUAAAGCUCUUUCGCUGGGGAAGAUAAUGACUGUACCCAGUAAAGAAGUCCCGGCUAACUCCGUGCCAGCAGCCGCGGUAAUACGGAGGGGACUAGCGUUGUUCGGAAUUACUGGGCGUAAAGCGCACGUAGGCGGAUCAGCAAGUUAGGGGUGAAAUCCCGGGGCUCAACCCCGGAACUGCCUCUAAAACUGUUGGUCUUGAGUUCGAGAGAGGUGAGUGGAAUUCCGAGUGUAGAGGUGGAAUUCGUAGAUAUUCGGAGGAACACCAGUGGCGAAGGCGGCUCACUGGCUCGAUACUGACGCUGAGGUGCGAAAGUGUGGGGAGCAAACAGGAUUAGAUACCCUGGUAGUCCACACCGUAAACGAUGAAUGCCAGUCGUCGGGCAGCUUGCUGUUCGGUGACACACCUAACGGAUUAAGCAUUCCGCCUGGGGAGUACGAUCGCAAGAUUAAAACUCAA